Long non-coding RNA from Oenanthe melanoleuca, 296 nucleotides. RefSeq lists it as uncharacterized. The record is from RefSeq and is a predicted model, not a curated record. The transcript has 2 exons. NCBI's taxonomy places the organism in Eukaryota, Metazoa, Chordata, Aves, Passeriformes, Muscicapidae.
GCUGUAGGCAUUUCAAGUCCACGUACCUUGACUGCUGCCCUGUUCCACUCGAGGAGCGGGGUGAGGAGGGUGACCACAGCCCGUCAUAAAAAGAGAAGCUCCACCCUGUCUUGUCUCUGUGUGACCACACCAGUUCAGUGAUUCUGUGGUGAAACAACUGUGUACUUCAUCUCAGACCAAGAUCUCCUGGAUUUUUACCACCAGACAUCUUUGGAAGACACCCUUUCCUCUUUAGUCAUUCCUAGCUAACCCAAAUCUUCUGGAAGAAGACAAAAGCAGCAACAUUGGUCUCAAGG